RNAcentral lists this small RNA (793 nucleotides) under Arabidopsis thaliana (thale cress). RNAcentral describes it as "ATSL171690". Lineage: Eukaryota; Viridiplantae; Streptophyta; Magnoliopsida; Brassicales; Brassicaceae. The record is from RNAcentral.
UUCAUAUAAAGUAAAGUUAAAUGCAUCGGUUUUGAAACAUAAAUAUGAAUUGUAAUUGUUUUCAAAAAGUCCAACUAUAUUAGUUCAUCUGAAAACGAAAGUGCUUGAGUUGUUUUUUAUUGUUGUUCUAGAUUCUCAGUUUUUUUUUAAUUUAUAUAUUCUUGUUCUUUUGGUUAUAUAUUUAGUUUGUGAUACGAGGAAAUUUUAGAAAAUUUAUUUCUUACAUUAAAAAUAUAACAUGUCUUUAUUAACCAUGUCUCUGCAUAUCCAUUCUAAUCAUAUUCAACUUGAUGUUCUUGGAAAGUUUAGUUAAUUUCUUGUCAUAAUCUUAUAUCUUACGUAUUAGUUAUAAGGAUAGCUCCUCAAACAUCUUUCAAAUUACUUGUUUUCUUAGCAUAAAUCUCGAAAAGCUUAGAUAUAUUUAAUCUGCAUAUUCAUUUAGUUUCUUUCAUAAUAAUCGUUUAAUUUUUAGGUAAGGAAUAUGUGUAACAUGUUUGGAUCUCAAAAUUAAAGAGGAUAUAUUGAAUUAAAAAAAUGUAGAAAGAGUGAUGAUUCAAGUUCUGAUUAAUUAUAUCCUCAUAUUUUAGUUAUUAUGUUGAAUUAAUUACUAAUUAUGUAUUAUUUAUUUUAUGAAGUUUAGGUGGCAAGCUCUCAUUGCUGAUGUGUCAAGUUGUGGGAGAGAGUUGGCCAACUUUCAUAUAUAUGAUUUAAAUUUCAAAAAACAGAUUGACUAGAUAAAUUUUAACGUACGAUGUUUAUUUAUUUAUCAAGAGGUUAAAAAAUUCACAUUAAU